GCCGGGCCCCAGACCCUUCCGUCUUCCGGAAGCGGACGCGAGGCUGGCUGCGACUGGGUGGGCAGCUACUGCAGUGGCGGGCACGGCGGGAGCGAGGAGGAGUAAAGGGGUGCGGGCCUGGCUCCCGCGCCGGAGUGGAGCACCAUGGACGAAGUUGGGAGCUGUGCGAGCGGCGGAGGCUUCCGCCCGGGCGUGGACAGCCUGGACGAGCCGCCCAACAGCCGCAUCUUCUUGGUGAUCAGCAAGUACACGCCCGAGUCGGUGCUGAGGGAGCGCUUCUCGCCCUUCGGGGAGAUCCAAGACAUCUGGGUGGUGCGGGACAAGCACACCAAAGAGUCCAAGGGCAUUGCAUUCGUCAAGUUUGCCCGCAGCUCGCAGGCCUGCAGGGCCAUGGAGGAGAUGCACGGCCAGUGCCUCAGCCCCAGCGACACCAAGCCCAUCAAGGUUUUCAUUGCUCAGUCCAGAUCAUCUGGAAGUCACCGAGAUGUUGAAGAUGAAGAACUUACAAGAAUAUUUGUUAUGAUACCAAAGUCCUACACAGAAGAAGAUCUACGGGAAAAAUUUAAGGUGUAUGGAGAUAUCGAGUAUUGCAGCAUUAUUAAGAAUAAAGUAACUGGAGAAAGUAAAGGCUUGGGCUAUGUUCGAUACUUAAAACCAUCACAGGCUGCCCAAGCAAUAGAAAACUGUGAUCGAAGUUUUAGGGCAAUCUUGGCUGAACCUAAAAAUAAAGCAUCUGAAUCCUCAGAACAAGAUUAUUAUAGUAAUAUGAGGCAGGAGACUUUGGGACAUGAACCUAGAGUGAAUAUGUUUCCAUUUGUUGGAGAACAACAAUCUGAAUUUUCAAGUUUUGACAAGAAUGACAACAGAGGCCAGGAAUCCAUCUCCAAACGCCUGUCAGUUGUAUCAAGAGUUCCUUUCACUGAAGAGCAGCUUUUCAGCAUUUUUGAUAUAGUACCAGGGUUGGAAUACUGUGAAGUUCAACGAGAUCCGUAUUCUAAUUAUGGUCAUGGAGUGGUUCAGUAUUUUAAUGUAGCAUCUGCUAUUUAUGCAAAAUACAAGUUACAUGGAUUUCAGUAUCCUCCUGGGAAUCGGAUAGGUGUUUCCUUCAUUGAUGAUGGGAGUAAUGCAUCAGAUCUCCUUAGAAAAAUGGCAACGCAGAUGGUAGCUGCACAGCUUGCAUCAAUGGUGUGGAAUAACCCAAGUCAGCAGCAAUUUCUGCAAUUUGGAGGAAGUUCUGGAUCACAGCUGCCUCAAAUCCAGACAGAUGUUGUACUUCCGUCAUGCAAAAAAAAAGCCCCUCCUGAAACUCCGGUGAAAGAAAGACUUUUUAUCGUGUUUAAUCCACAUCCUUUACCUUUAGAUGUACUAGAGGAUAUAUUCUGUCGUUUUGGUAACCUGAUCGAAGUUUACCUUGUGUCAGGAAAAAAUGUGGGGUAUGCCAAGUAUGCAGAUAGAGUAAGUGCUAAUGAUGCCAUUACUACUUUACAUGGAAAGAUCCUGAAUGGAGUCAGACUUAAAGUUAUGCUGGCAGACUCCCCAAGAGAAGAAUCUAACAAACGACAAAGAACUUACUGAUUCUUGAGUUGCAGCACGGCUUUUUUUAUUUUUGCUUCGAAUCCCCAUUUACCAUGGACUUCAUAAUGAGAUUCACCUCUUUUGUUGAAAUUCAGUACCCGCUUGCAUCAUCCUUCUGAAACAAAGACUAAUGACAUAAUCCUCAGCUGACUGACUGAAAAUGUGACUGGACGCACUCCUUGUGGACAGUUGACGGCUUUUUUUUUUCACAUACCUGAUAGUCUCUGCACAGCAUUGUUUUGUCUUGGGGAGCAGGGAUUGUUGACAUGUAUUUUUAAACCACACGUUAAUGCUAAAACUAAUAUAGUAGUUGUUUCUUAGAGCAAUAUGUUGUUAUGUGUGGCAGAAAUAAAGUUUUCUUUGCUUAACUAAA
Molecule: RNA transcript, 1948 nt
Organism: Aethalodelphis obliquidens (Pacific white-sided dolphin)
Lineage: Eukaryota; Metazoa; Chordata; Mammalia; Artiodactyla; Delphinidae
Gene: RBM45
Gene name: RNA binding motif protein 45
Exons: 12
Source: RefSeq, a predicted model, not a curated record